This 497-nucleotide ribosomal RNA is filed under the name uncultured bacterium. RNAcentral describes it as "partial 16S ribosomal RNA". It matches the Rfam family "Bacterial small subunit ribosomal RNA", at positions 28 to 507 of the family's 1533-position model. The record is from RNAcentral.
GAUGAACGCUGGCGGCGUGCCUAAUACAUGCAAGUCGAGCGAACAGACGAGGAGCUUGCUCCUCUGACGUUAGCGGCGGACGGGUGAGUAACACGUGGAUAACCUACCUAUAAGACUGGGAUAACUUCGGGAAACCGGAGCUAAUACCGGAUAAUAUAUUGAACCGCAUGGUUCAAUAGUGAAAGACGGUUUUGCUGUCACUUAUAGAUGGAUCCGCGCCGCAUUAGCUAGUUGGUAAGGUAACGGCUUACCAAGGCAACGAUGCGUAGCCGACCUGAGAGGGUGAUCGGCCACACUGGAACUGAGACACGGUCCAGACUCCUACGGGAGGCAGCAGUAGGGAAUCUUGCGCAAUGGGCGAAAGCCUGACGGAGCAACGCCGCGUGAGUGAUGAAGGUCUUCGGAUCGUAAAGCUCUGUUAUUGGGGAAGAACAGAUGUGUAAGUAACUAUGCACGUCUUGACGGUACCUAAUCAGAAAGCCACGGCUAACUACGUG